CGGGUGAGUAACGCGUGGGUAACCUGCCUCACACAGGGGGAUAACAGUUAGAAAUGACUGCUAAUACCGCAUAACCCGAUAGGAUCGCAUGAUCCAGACGGAAAAGAUUUAUCGGUGUGAGAUGGACCUGCGUCUGAUUAGCUAGUUGGUGAGGUAACGGCCCACCAAGGCGACGAUCAGUAGCCGGCCUGAGAGGGUGAACGGCCACAUUGGGACUGAGACACGGCCCAA
RNAcentral lists this ribosomal RNA (231 nucleotides) under uncultured bacterium. RNAcentral's name for it is "partial 16S ribosomal RNA". It matches the Rfam family "Bacterial small subunit ribosomal RNA", at positions 103 to 334 of the family's 1533-position model. The record is from RNAcentral.